ACAAUGGGGGGAACCCUGACGCAGUGACGCCGCGUAUAGGAAGAAGGUUUUCGGAUUGUAAACUAUUGUCGUGAGGGAAGAAAUUGACAGUACCUCAGGAGGAAGCUCCGGCUAACUAUGUGCCAGCAGCCGCGGUAAUACAUAGGGAGCAAGCGUUAUCCGGAUUUAUUGGGUGUAAAGGGUGCGUAGACGGGAAAUUAAGUUAGUUGUGAAACCCCUCGGCUCAACUGAGGAACUGCAACCAAAACUAUUAUUCUUGAGUGCAGGAGAGGAAAGUGGAAUUCCUAGUGUAGCGGUGAAAUGCGUAGAUAUUAGGAAGAACACCGGUGGCGAAGGCGACUUUCUGGACUGUAACUGACGUUGAGGCACGAAAGUGUGGGGAGCAAACAGG
RNAcentral lists this ribosomal RNA (391 nucleotides) under uncultured bacterium. Its description in RNAcentral is "bacterial SSU rRNA". It matches the Rfam family "Bacterial small subunit ribosomal RNA", at positions 368 to 776 of the family's 1533-position model. The record is from RNAcentral.